UGCAUUUUAUGGUAAAACCCAGUUUUAUGACGCUGUCGCUUUACUAAAUAAACCGUUAUAUCAGGCAACUCCAACGGGGUGACUGACUGUAAUCCUGACUGUCAAACUCUUCGUCCUCAAGUUUGUUUACAACGUCAAGAUCAGCUGAGCGAGUAACGAGUGCACAGUAGUCUCACACAAACGCCCACUGUCUCAGAUAAGUGGUAAAUAGGACGUUGCCCCGAAAACAUGUUCAAGAGAAUCAUUUAUUUCACAUUUUUUUUAUCAUUAUGGCUUGGAGGAAUUGCUUUUAGGACUGUGUUGAUAUGGGCCUUCUCAACAACACUAAUUACAUAUGGAGUCUUGCCUUUAGUGUAUCAUUUUUGUCCUGCUCUUCAGCGUCACCUUGUGUUCUUAACAUUUGUCAACUACCCUAGAUCCAUAGACUUCAGUAAGCCAGAAAAAGAAGGUUUACCUGGCACAAGAAAUUUUUACCUAGACACAGAGGAGAAUGUGAAAAUUGGAGUGUGGCACAUUCUACCAGAGUCUCUUCUUUCCUCGGUGCCAGUGGAGAAUACUGACAGGGAUGCCUGGUUUGAGAAUUCUCUCUGUGAUCACAGGCCAGUCAUAUUGUAUCUCCAUGGAAAUACAGCUUCAAGAGCAGUUGCUCAUAGAAUAGAGCUGUAUAAUGUGCUCAGAAAAAUGGACUAUCAUGUUGUAGCUUUUGAUUAUAGAGGUUAUGCGGAUUCAACUCCUAUUCCACCAAAUGAGACUGGUGUUGUGCACGAUGCCAAAGUUGUUUAUAGAUAUGUGAAAGAAAGAAUUGGGUCUUCCCCUUUUAUUGUUUGGGGGCAUUCACUUGGAACAGGAGUAUCCACCCAUGCAGUUGGAGAUUUGUGUUUAGAAGGGGACCAUCCUUCUGCUGUUGUGCUCGAAUCCCCAUUCAAUAAUAUCAAAGACGAAAUAAAGUAUCAUCCUUUAUCUUCUAUUUUCCGAAAGAUGCCUAAAUUUGAUUGGCUGUUUUUGGAACCCCUAGCUGCUUCAGGAAUAGAUUUCCGUAGUGAUGAUCAUAUAACCCAUAUCGAUGCUCCUGUCCUAAUUCUGCAUGCUGAAGAUGACCUUGUUGUGCCUUUUGCUUUGGGUCGUAAGCUAUAUGAAACUGCCCUGAAAAAACGUCCAGAUAAUGCCCCACCAGUAAAGUUUGUUGAUUUUUCGUCUUGCCAUGGAUAUGCCCAUAAAUAUAUUUGUCGUGCCCCAGAAUUACCAGAUAUUCUCAAGAACUUUCUCAAGGAAGCUAUAGAAGCCCAAAGAGAAUAGUCGAGUCCUUUUGGGUUUUGGAAUUGAUGCUCAAGUUACCUGUGUGAUUAAUGGUGCAGGAUUUGUAGAUUUCGCAUUUUGAUAUUUUAUUCUCACUGAAGAUUGGAGUGUUUUGUACGCAUUUUUUCAUAGAUUAGUCCUGUUUGUCCUCAGAAGAUUUACACUCUCAUGGGCCGCCAAGGACCAUGGCUCGAUAAGACAGACCAGCCAAUAUCAAAACUUCUCUUAUAUAGUUAGUCUCGGCAAGAAUAAUGCCUGUUGGCACAAUGUUAGGAUUUAAAGGACUCAGAACAAGAGGGCUCUGUCUCCAUUCCAUAGCAACUACGUAUACCUCGGGUUUUCCCUUCACCUAACUCAAACAGAUGUGACAGCAGCACAUAUACGCGGGCACAUUAAACCGAUCGUGUUAGGUACUUUACAAUUUAUUCUUUCUGUUUAUACAUUAUUUAAAUUGACACCGAAAUCCCUUAUUAUUUACACUUUUAGUCAUCUUUAGCAUUUUAUUUAAUUGUUCACCCAACUGUUAUUUCAAUCUUAGAACAUUAGCCUUUUCUUGUAAUAAGAAACCUAAAAAAAUUAGAUGUGUUAUAUUAAACUGCAUUACCAGUUAAUAACUACUUCACUUUAAAACCCUUCCCUCUCCUUUUUUUCUGUGACUCUGGUAGUGCCAUGGUAUGACAACCAGCGCUUCUCAGGUUAACACAAUUCUUUACUUUCAAGGCUAGUCUUAUGUAGUAUUCCACGAAUUUUCUUGUAAGAGAUUUCAGAGUCUCUAAAAUAACAUCCUAUCUUUUAUUUUGUGUAGGUGCUAUCCUCUUCCAUUCGGCAUAGAUCAUAAACCUCGUUUUUAUAUUUUCCCCGAAAGUUAGCCUUCAAUUCUUUGUUCAGCCUGGCCUUCAUUAUCAUACAUGCAUCCUUUACUUCAAGUUUUCUGGUGUACUCAUUUUCUCUAAUGCACUCAUUUUCCAUGAAGCAUUCUAUGAACCUAAGCUGCUUCAUUUUUUUCCUCUGCUUUUUCUAAGGUCUUUUGCAAUCUCUUGCUUAAUUUUCAUCUUUAUUUUCCCUUUCAAUGUUUUUUCUCAUAUUUUCCUAUUCCUUCAAUUUCUAUUUUGUAUUUAUUAUACAGAUGUUUCCCAUACACUGUUCAGCACUGUCCAUAGGGGGCUCUUAGUUGAUCUUCUAUUAUUUCUUUAAUCAUUUCUUGUCCGAGUUUAUUAUGUUAUGGAACAGCAUGAUUUUUUUUAGUUUGAUCUGUAGCUACAGCCUGCAAGCCAUAUGCCAGAUUCUGCCAUAAUUCUCCAAUACAUUGUGCCCUUUGGCUGUUCAUACAUUCCUCAGAGGGUCCUCUGUUGUAUUUUCUCUAUUUCAUUCAAUUCGCUUUCCUUGAUGUUACUUCAUGUUUCAAUAUUUUUUCAUUUUAGUGCCAUAUUUCCCACUUUUUUUAAUAUCCAUGAAUUUUCUAAUUUUUCAAACCAGUUACUCUGGUGGGCUUCUGUUAUUUUUUUUUCAUCUAUUACGUUUUCUGUUGGUGGGGAACAUUAUGUCGUCGUCAUAUACUAUUAAUAUUUGUUAUUAGUGUUACAUUCUUUCUGCUUAUCUCACUCACUCUAUCUGUCACUUUACUACAUAGCUUUGAGUCAUGUAUUGUUCCUUGUCUGGUAGUUUCCGUAAUUUCAAUUGGUUCUGCCUUGCCACUUUCAUUCAUCUUUAGUAAUACCAACACUACAUCUUUCCACCCUAUUACCUUCCCUAUUUCUUUUAUGCAUUCUUUCAGAUCUAAUUUAUCAAAGCAUUUGUAUUAGUCUCCGAACUCAUAUAAAUGCUAACAAGUUGGCUUAUAUUUGAUAAAAUUGGAAGCCAGUGGGUCUUCUGCAAGGUGUGAAGUCAGGAUUAGAUCGCAAGGACAUGCUGUUUUAUCACUUGUCUGACAAAGUAAUAAUUUGCAUUAAUGCAGUAAUAUUAGACAGUUAUAUUUGAAAUUCAUUAGUCAUUGACAUUUUUAAUACUAAAAAAUAAUUGAAGGUUACCAAAAGGGUAAAUUGGGUUAGCUUAAAUUCUUGUUUAUGAAAUAUAGUUAUGAUCGUAGUUCCCAAUUGUGACUGACAUACAAGCCUUGAUGUUUACUAAAGGCCAGUAAUUCCUUUGUAGUAUUAUAUACAUAAUUAAAUUAAAUGCAUUUGAGAUAUAGAAAGUUAGACAGUUAUCCUUAAUGUCGGGGAUCUUUCACAUAGACCUAUUUCCAAAAGGAAUUACUUCACCGGUAGUGACGUCACAGGCUUUGGGGAAAAUUAUUGUCACUUUUUGCUACAGGAUUAUAAAAAGUACCUUCUCUAAUGGUGAGCUUUGUCAACUAAUUUAAAAUAUUAAAGACAAUGUUUUGAUAUAAAUUUGGUACAAUAAUUCCAAUAAUUAAACAUUUAGAUUAUGUACCAAUGAACGUUAGGUCAUGUAGAUAAAAUUGGGUAGAUCCUUUAAUCACUGCUGGGUUGCUAUGUGUAGGACCCACAGAUCCCCUGCCUCCAGCGAAUCACUCAAUCUGCUUUUUGCCUGUGGAAAAGGCUCAUUACUACCUGCCAUGAGCCAGCCCCUGUAGGCAUGAGGAGAAUUUUGUUGGUUGCUGGACAUGCAUGAAAUAUGAAACAUACAUUGGGCAAUAAGUUCAAAUGAUGAAAAACCUCAAUUUAAGCUGUCUGUAUGAGUCAUAGGUUUCAGUAGUAUGAAAGGAAGAGACUACAUUGUUCCAGAAUAACUCCUGCAGUGUUUCUCCAUCCCUCUCCAAGCAAAAUCCACGUUUGGGGUAAGACUCCUGGAACAGCGAAUUCUAGGGACUCCCUAUUUGACUCCUCCAGUGAAGAAGAAGAAGAAGAGUCUUUCCUUGGGAGAGAUAUCACUAAUACCUAACAUGAAGUGCAAAUAACCACUGAAAUUUCCCUCCCGACUGGAAGAUUUUAGGUACAGUCUUCUGCUUAACGUAAGAGAGAUACCGCAGAGGAGUCUUGCCUCUCUCAUGCAGCAAACAGAUAUUGAAGGAGAUCCUGAUAAGGUCCACUAACCCAUCUGAAGUGUCUGUCCCUUCUAGAAGUAAUAGUAAUUUAUCAGGGACUUCUAUCCUGCUUGGCAGUAUUGAUACGACUGCUUUGGCUCAAUCAGUUCAUGCAGGUUUUCCUGUUAUGCAAAUUCUGCCUGAUGGACCUUCAAAAUUCUGGAAGGAAAUCAUAAAGAGUAUCAAGGAUGUCCUUCCUAUCCAUGAUUCACAGAAGAAAUACAGAGGUCUGUCGUGUGUAUGGAACUGAAUAUGAUAUGUAAUAAUUUCUCAUCCUCAUUGAAAUCAGAGACAGUCCACUCACUCUUUUAAGCCCCAUACACACUAUGCAUCAUGAUGCUCACAUUGUUAGAUGGAUGCGUUGAAAAACGACUUUUUCAACAAGAAGCCUCAUCACCAACGUGUCCAUGGGUCAGAGCCAUUUCAUUACUCAGCUCAAUGAUGCACCAUCAUUGAGAGGGGGAGGACGUCCGCUCACCACUACCCGCCGCCAAACCCCUUGAGUGGACAAGGACUAACACAAUACAUUUUAGUGAAUUACUGAAGGAACAUCCAUCUGUUUGGAACAUCAAAUGCAAGUAUUACAAGAUGAGAAACAUCAGGAGUGCAAGCUUGGAAACCAUAAAAUCAGAGUUAUCGAGUUUUGUAAACUGUACAUUGCAGAAUGAAGACAUUACUAAAAAGCUGCACACCCUGAAGACACAAUUCUACAGGGAAAUGUCUGCAAUCAAAGCAUCACAGAAGUCUGGAGCUGGCACGGAAGAUCUCUAUAUUCCGAAAUUAUGGUGUUUUGAUGAGCUGCGUUUCCUGUAAUAAAAAAAUAUUUGUGUACUUUGCACCUAUAUUUGAACCUUACUUUCAAAUUAUCCUCCCUAAGGACAUUAUUUUGAAAUCCUGGUUGAAUGUUGGAGGCUUGCAUACCAUCCUCCAGCUGCAAGGAUGAGCUCCUGGUGAUAUGCUGUCUUGAAAGCUGGUGUCCUGCUUACAAAUGUAUUGUUCAAUUUUUUCCAUCAAUUUAUAAAAUCCAGGGAUUGGCAUUCUUGUGUAAUUUUCAAGUCUGUUGGAUUUUCGACUUAUAGCUCCAAAAAUCUUUCUUUGAAGCUUCCCUUCAGAGGUCGCCAAGAAAGCCAAUGCUUACACCAUAAGGUUCUACGUUUCUUCCUCAAAAGUUUCUUUUUUGCAGCACACAGAGCAACUAUACCCCACAGUAGAGUCUCCUGGCAAAGUAUAUCACCGGCAGACAUCCUGCCAUUGAAAGCUGAACUGCGAGAACCAGUGAGCGGUGUUGCAGUACAGUUUGGCCCCUUUUAAUUUUAUUCAACACCACUACUGCAUCACGUAGCUGAUACAUGAUGGCAUAGUGUAAACCAUGCUUUAGAGCUCCAACUCGUAACAAUAUGAUGACCAGGUCUGGCUAAAACCUCAAAUCAGAAUGAAGUACAGGCACCAAUAAUCCGCCCCAGAGAAUGAUACAGAUGAACGUUGAGGUGACGCUUCAAUGUGUAUCCUUUCACUAGAUGGAAAUACCUCGUAAAUGAAAGGAAAACUGUGAUUGUUAUGAAUUAUUCCCUCGCAACAGAGAUUAUUGGUUUGCCAGAUGGUAUUGGCAGGAUAGCCUAGCCUUUGGCACAGGCUUCAAUCCCAACUCACAGGACUAAUGAAGAUGGCGGCAAGAUUUUAACAAUUUUAUUACAAAAGUAAACGAUCUCAUGUCUACCCUUACAGUCAAAACAAUACAUCCUAUUUACACUUCUAAGAUAACUCACUAUGAUAUAGCUGACCACGUGGUCCUUAAGGGAACACUGGCCUAAUCAGCAAUUACACAAUUAAUAUCAAAUAUAAUGACAGGUGUCGGGGAGCUUGAAGGAAAUACACUUCAGUAGACUUACGGCCUCAGCCAGGUGCAGCUUUUGACUUUUGAUUUGCGGACUCACCUAUCCGCUGAUUUUUCUAUGAACCUUGUAUACCAAUUAUUCAUGGAAAAUUCGCCUAUUCACAGUAUUUUUCACUGAGAAAUAUUAAAAAAUUACUGUAUUUUCAUAUAAUUUUCAUGACUAAAUGUGCUUUUUGUGAUAAGACUUAAAAUACUCAGGUAGAGUUUUUUUUGUCUUUUAACUAUCAAAAUGGGCAGUUCUAAGCAUUUAUAGAGGAGCUUUGAGUAUUUACAGAUUUUAGCUAUUUGCAAGGGGGUCUGGUAAUCAUCCUCACAAAUAUGGGGUCUACUGUAUAGCACAAAAAUAAUUUAAGAAAACAAUGCCCUCCCUGGGAGGCACCAGCCUUCUGUCCUUUUACUGUUAUAACAAUCAAUCAUAUGAAGACAGAUUAUCAGAACUUUGUGGUGACUGGGAUAUGAGCGUUAAUGGCAGAAAUAAAACCAUUUGCCUUUUCCAUCCCAGUAACUAAUAGUUCUACAGAGGAAUGGGCAACACUUGUCCUUCAUUUAAGAGAAAAAGCUCCCAUUGGCUGUGCCUGCCCGGCAAUUUGGGACCCUUAAGAGAAAAAUCUCAAGACGGGACAUCCAUGGCUGAAUUUCAUGCUAAGCUCUACCUCCUCAAUAUUAUAACUUCUGCUACUGUGCUGCAGUAGCCAAAUGACUUAUGCAGACCCUGUGGGGAGUACUCUAUAACUU
RNA transcript from Macrobrachium nipponense, 6968 nucleotides. It is a transcript of the gene named lysophosphatidylserine lipase ABHD12-like, with no coding region annotated. The record is from RefSeq and is a predicted model, not a curated record. The transcript is spliced from 11 exons. Lineage: Eukaryota; Metazoa; Arthropoda; Malacostraca; Decapoda; Palaemonidae.